AUAUUUUAUCUAGAAUAACAACAAUCUGAGAUUCUGAGUACAAGGGAAGAGAUGAUGUGAGUGCUAAAAAAAAGAAAAGAAAAAGGAAAGGCUGUUCUACCGAAACAGGCCAUCCUAUUCCUUGACCAAAGCCCAGCGUCCCCGGACUGCUAGAUGAGUCUAUGAGAAGCCCAGGGUCUCCGGCCCAAAGGGAAUCAGAAAUUAUCGUAAAAGAAAACGGAAAGCCGAAACGAGUCAUGGCGAUCUGAACGGCCUUUUGGGCUGCCCUCUGCAGAUUUUGCGCCGGCGACCUUGCUCAGCCUCACGCCGCCGCACCGCGGCAAGCAGACAAGCAGUCCAGCGCGCCGAGGAGCGAGGUCCGUUGCUGGGCGCCGUGGUCGCCCAUUGGUGUGUCCACUGUCCAGUGGUUUGGGCGCGCGAGUUUGGGGGGAUUGGUGAUUGGACGCAUGAUGUGGGCGCACAUCGGAGAGGGAUGUGGCAUGUGCCUGCGGCUGCGGGGCAGCAGGGUGCGGAGGCGCGAGGCGAGGAGGCGAGCAGCGGAGGUGCGUGUCUCAUCCGACGUACGUUUUAGAUCAUCAUGCCGUUCUGAGGAUUCGCUCGAAUGUCAGUGUCGUUUUGCAGUUUCGAAAACCUCUCAUGUAGAUCAGUGGUGAUACGGGGAUAAGCGGAUUGUUGGUCUCUUGGCACCGGCGCACUGCCUGCAAUGCAAUGAAGCAUAACUUCUAAAGUAGCAACAAUGCAAUUUCUCAAGUUUUUUUAGCUGCAGGCUUGCAGCAAACAGAGAAGCAAAGAUUUCAGGUGACGUUGGUGGGGAUGGAUCACGGAUGUGCACGACUCGGAGGAGUACACUAGCUCCAAUGUGUUGGAGACCUGCCUUAAUUAACAUUAUUUUUGUUGGGAAUUGGAAUCUGACCACAUUCAGAUAGCAAAGUUCAGCUUGCAUCCAGCUCACUCCCAGUGUACGUCGAUUUUGUGCAUAGCUCGUGCUCAUUCUACCUGAUACAUCAACGAUGGACUUUGCGGAUACGUGUGCAACGACAACGAGGUCACUGGAGAUUGGAGAUUCUGUUCCAGAAUUGUCUCGUGCAGUCGUGCGCAAACUGAAGACUUUUGCCAAACGUAUGGCUGUACGACCUACCAAUGGCAAGUCACUAUUGUCAUCUGCAUUAGGUGUCGAUGGCACAGGAUUAUGCUUUCCAAUUCCCAAUUAGUACCUAGCCGUAGCAGGUACUGUUGGAAGGGGACGUGCGAACAGUAUGUUGAUGUUCCUUCGUCACUGUUUGAUCUGAUGGGGACGAACUACAGAUACUGAAAGUAAUCAAGGAACUAACUAAAGAAUGGGCCCGGAACAGAUACUAACGAGCUCUAGUGUU
Molecule: long non-coding RNA, 1373 nt
Organism: Sorghum bicolor (sorghum)
Lineage: Eukaryota; Viridiplantae; Streptophyta; Magnoliopsida; Poales; Poaceae
Exons: 3
Source: RefSeq, a predicted model, not a curated record